RNAcentral lists this ribosomal RNA (478 nucleotides) under uncultured bacterium. RNAcentral describes it as "bacterial SSU rRNA". It matches the Rfam family "Bacterial small subunit ribosomal RNA", at positions 10 to 493 of the family's 1533-position model. The record is from RNAcentral.
AGUUUGAUCCUGGCUCAGGACGAACGCUGGCGGCGUGCCUAACACAUGCAAGUCGAACGAGGUCCAUCUGGUAGCAAUACCAGUGAAGAUCAAGUGGCGAACGGGUGAGUAGCACGUGAGCAACCUGCCCCGAAGACCGGGACAACACCGGGAAACCGGUGCUAAUACCGGAUACCCCCACCGAGUCGCAUGGCUUGGUGAGGAAAUGGAUUCCGCUUCGGGAGGGGCUCGCGGCCUAUCAGCUUGUUGGUGAGGUAACGGCCUACCAAGGCGACGACGGGUAGCCGGCCUGAGAGGGUGUCCGGCCACACUGGGACUGAGAUACGGCCCAGACUCCUACGGGAGGCAGCAGUGGGGAAUAUUGCGCAAUGGGCGGAAGCCUGACGCAGCGACGCCGCGUGCGGGAUGAAGGCCUUCGGGUUGUAAACCGCUUUCAGCAGGGACGAAGCGCAAGUGACGGUACCUGCAGAAGAAGCGC